GAUGAAGAACGUAGCGAAAUGCGAUAAGUAAUGUGAAUUGCAGAAUUCAGUGAAUCAUCGAAUCUUUGAACGCACAUUGCGCCCGCCAGUAUUCUGGCGGGCAUGCCUGUUCGAGCGUCAUUACAACCCUCAGGCCCCCGGGCCUGGCGUUGGGGAUCGGCGGAGCCCCCCGUGGGCACACGCCGUCCCCCAAAUGCAGGGGCGGUCCCGCCGCAGCUUCCAUCGCGUAGUAGCUAACACCUCGCGACUGGAGAGCGGCGCGGCCACGCCGUAAAACACCCAACUCUUCUGAAGUUGACCUCGAAUCAGGUAGGAAUACCCGCUGAACUUAAGCAUAUCAAUAAGCGGAGGA
This 352-nucleotide unclassified non-coding RNA is filed under the name soil metagenome. RNAcentral describes it as "partial contains 5.8S ribosomal RNA, internal transcribed spacer 2, and large subunit ribosomal RNA". The stretch from base 1 to 120 matches the Rfam family "5.8S ribosomal RNA", at positions 35 to 154 of the family's 154-position model. The record is from RNAcentral.